Molecule: long non-coding RNA, 1588 nt
Organism: Gorilla gorilla gorilla (western lowland gorilla)
Lineage: Eukaryota; Metazoa; Chordata; Mammalia; Primates; Hominidae
Exons: 3
Source: RefSeq, a predicted model, not a curated record
GCUGGUUUCUCCUCUUGGUCCUGCCCUACAGACCAUAAAGGAAAUCAGCAAGAAGUCCCCAGCAAACAUCCACAGAUGGCCCUGGACAUCAGCCACAUUCUGAGAAACAUGUCAUGUUCUGGGAGGGCUGAGGCAUCAACCUCACCUUGCAGGAAUCCCAGUGAAUAUAUUGCCACCUUAUUUGAGCUCAGUGCCCUCAUAGCGUAAUGGCACCAGCAGAUCUGCCUGUGCAUGGACUUCCUGUACUACCCAUUCCUGAGGGGUGAUGCUUCUGCAGGGCCUGUGACCUGGUGCACAACUUUGGACACCAUCAUCCUGGAGCAGCACUGCACCCUCACUAGCCAGGGUGUUCAUGACUUCCUCAAGGCCAAGGCCACGUUCAAGACUUGAGACUUCCGUGAUGCACUUGUGCUGGGCAAGGUGGCUUCUCCGGUGUCUUAAUUUGGGAGGUAGAAUGCAGCUUGAGAUCAAAUGUCUGAUCAAAGAACUUGAACUUGAUCUGGAGGGCUCUGGGGAGCCAUAGAAGGUGCUGGACAAACGAGGGACAGUCAGAUAUAUUUUAGAGAUGACUGUAGAAGGCUGCCUGGAAGGAGUGAACAAGAGCCAGGAGACCCGGGAGGGAGCUUGUGGGGCAGGUCUGGAGAUGGCAAGGGAGGGAUCCUGCUUGGAUGAAAAGUCUUCAGGGACUGUCUCAGGUUACACUCAGGUGCCCUCAGAGCUAAUGUGUUCAGAGGUCUUGUCUCCAGGAUGAAAAUGGGAAGGAGUUGUCAUAUGAGGACAUAUAAAUGGAGGCUGGCAUCUUCAUGAGUACCAGCAGUGGUCCUGGUGUGGGUCUCUCCAUCCAGGGACAUGGUGGAUGGACACUACGUCACUCCAUUCUGCCCUUCCUUUCCCUCCCCCCAUUCUCCCGAGGGCCUCAGUACAUGGGCGCUGUCCAACCUCUGGUGCUGAAGCAGCCAAGAGACCCAAGCCUGCGUGGCUGCCUCUUAGGAUAUGACAGCACAGCCACUGGCCUCUACUGAAUCCUAUGCAACCUCAGAAGACACCCAGGAGUGAUGCCAUCACGUGGUGCAAGAGUUCUGAGGGACCGCAAUCCUGAAGACAUUGAAUGUUGUUAGAUUAAAAAACAGUGGCAAAGAGCAAUACAGAGAGUUGCCAAAAUUCACACCGCUGGUCCAGGUUUGAAGCAAGCAGUCUGUACCUGCAGUCCUUGUCUGUAACCAUGGCACCCUGGCUUCUCACACAUCUCAUCGUGGAGUUCCACCAUGUGUCAGGCAUGACACUGAGCACCUUCUUUUAAGAAUAUAAUUUGUAAUUAUGUAGAUUAUUAAUUCUACCUCAAAAUGCCACACAGCCUUCAUGUGAUAAAAUGAAACAAUUGGUGAGUCUAAGCAUUGAGAAAAGACGUUCUUUUUUCCACUCCCAACUCCAUUCCAACAGUUGGGACAGUGCUUUCUCUGUGCCUGUAGAAACCUCAGCUCCUGUGCUGAGGAGCCUGUUCUCUUUGGGGAAUGUGGCAGUCAGGUACUGGCAGGGACCUCAAAGCGUCUGAAGGGUCAUUAAGAAAAAGCUGUUUACACAGGUGUGG